Long non-coding RNA from Ananas comosus (pineapple), 597 nucleotides. RefSeq lists it as uncharacterized. The record is from RefSeq and is a predicted model, not a curated record. The transcript is spliced from 2 exons. NCBI's taxonomy places the organism in Eukaryota, Viridiplantae, Streptophyta, Magnoliopsida, Poales, Bromeliaceae.
UAAUUAUAUAUUAUAUAUAUAUAUAUAUAUAUUGUAUUUUAAUGUUGAGUCUUGUCAUCUUUCUUAUCUUAUCCGUGACAACGGUGAGACCUAUAGCAACAGUGACAUCAAACGCGAGAUCCUCAGACCUAUGGCGACAGUGACAUCAAAUGCGAGGUCCUCAAUCAGGGCAAAAAUAAGAGGCAGCGGAGGCAGAGGCGGAAGUGGAAACGGCCAGUCUCACCUCUCACCCUCAUGCUCUCGCCCUCGCCCUCGCCCUCACCCGCGCACCCCUACCUUCCUCACCUCCGAUCCAACCGAGGCCACGCCGCAACUCUCUUUUAUUUUCCUCUAAGACUCUCCUCCACCAUCUCCGACGACGACGCCUCUCUCGCCCUUCCCCGCCCUUCUCGUCCUCUCCCUCUCCAUCCUCCUUUGCCGCCUUCGACGACGACGUAUCUUCGCCGAUGCCGACACCGUGGAGGUCGCUACGGCGCUGACACCGUGAAGGUCGCUGCAGCGCUGCAGUCUCGGAGGAGGGGUUCUUAGCGGCGUUGUUGCCGGCGCUGGCAGAGACGGGUGACAAAAAAAAAAUAUAGAAAAAGCAAGAAAAAAAAA